GAUGAACGCUGGCGGUGUGCCUAAUACAUGCAAGUCGUACGCAUUCUCGUUUCUGAUUGACGGUGCUUGCACCUAAUUGACGAGACAUUGGAAUGAGUGGCGGACGGGUGAGUAACACGUGGGUAACCUGCCCAGAAGCGGGGGAUAACAUUUGGAAACAGAUGCUAAUACCGCAUAAAAGUCAAAACCACAUGGUUUUGAUUUAAAAGAUGGCCUUUGUGCUAUCACUUCUGGAUGGACCCGCGGCGUAUUAGCUAGUUGGUAAGGUAAUGGCUUACCAAGGCAAUGAUACGUAGCCGAACUGAGAGGUUGAUCGGCCACAAUGGGACUGAGACACGGCCCAUACUCCUACGGGAGGCAGCAGUAGGGAAUCUUCCACAAUGGGCGCAAGCCUGAUGGAGCAACACCGCGUGAGUGAAGAAGGGUUUCGGCUCGUAAAACUCUGUUGUUAAAGAAGAACGUAUCUAAGAGUAACUGCUUAGGUAGUGACGGUAUUUAACCAGAAAGCCACGGCUAACUACGUGCCAGCCGCCGCAGUAA
Molecule: ribosomal RNA, 540 nt
Filed under: uncultured bacterium
Lineage: Bacteria
Description: partial 16S ribosomal RNA
Rfam family: Bacterial small subunit ribosomal RNA
Source: RNAcentral